AAAGAUGUUUGCUGUACACAUGGACAAAACACUGAGUAUACUGAGAGCCCUGGAAUACACAGCUAGCAGGUACCACACUGCGUAUACUGAUUCCUCUGGCAUAUACAGAGUAUACUGAAAGCCAGCAGGUACCACACUGAGUAUAUUGACUCCUCUGGUAUAUCCAGGGUAUACUGAAAGCCAGCGGUACCACACUGCGUAUACUGAUUCCUCUGGUAUAUACGGAGGAUACUAAAAGCCAGCGGGUACCACACAGCGUAUACUGACUUCUGAUAUAUACGGAGUAUACUGACAGCCCUGAUAUCCACAGGGAGGUGUGCAGACUGCCCGCACGGGUACACACAGAGUAUAUUGGAUGAAACUGUGAAGCUCAGGACAUGGCAGGUGAGUUUGUUCCUGUUGUGCCAUUUCUCAGGAUUCCACAGACAGACCUGCAGAGUUCACUGUUAAUUCUAAGGAGACCUUAUGGUAAAGCUGCUGAGUUCCUGCCAAACAGAUCAAUUUAUUAGACAUUUUUACCCGAAAUAUCCAAAAUGGAAUAAAUUUCCCACUCGGAUAUUUUGGCCAUUGUCAGUUCCCCAGUAUUCCCGUUUGGUGAAUCGUUUUAUCGGUGAAUAGUUUAUCAGCUGAGGUUUUCACACUCUAAUCUCUGUGCCAGGUCGGAUUUAUCAAUGUCUGUGGAUGUUCUAAUAACGUAGACGAGAGACUGUUUAUUUAAAAUAUGCUGCAUGAAUUCGAAUUUCAUUAGAAAUGUGAGUAACAUUGAGAACUUGUUAAGAAAUCGCAUUAUAACCUGCCUUGUAAGUAUGUGUUAAAUCAAUAAAUAGUCACUGGGAAAGCAGUUUUAGACUUUACUGACUAAUCCCGGCGCAGUUUCAUCCCACGUCUCAUUAUUCACGAAUUAUCCUGAACGGUAUUUGGACCAUUUGUUUCUUUUGAUAUUUUGAUUUCUAAAAAAUAUUCUCACAUUAAAAUGUUCGAGCUCUGUGGAUAAAGUUGGUGCUACAUCAAUGCCUAUAAUAUAAUAUAAUAAUAAUAAUAAAUAAUAAUAAAUAAUAAUAACACUGCAUCAGGCUCCAACAACUCCAAUGGAUUGCCACUCCUAUUCUGCUUGGCCAGCGCAUUGCAGGGAAGCAGAAUGUCUGUCCUUGCCCUCUAUGUAACAGAAUUUAUAACGAUUCCUCAAUUUGGAUUAAAUAAAUAAAUGUGGUGAGUUGGAAGGGAUUAGAGGAGAAUAGCUGAUUUUACACUGUAAACAGUGUGUUGUGUUGAUAAGUCGUUUUUAGAAUAUUUCUAACACCCAAUACACAGCGUGUCUCAUUCAGGAAGGUUUUAUUUUGUAACUAAUUCCAACUCAGCUGUGCAAGUCGCUAUUCACAGACACAAAAGGCAAACAAUCUCAUUUCCUGCUGUUUGUGCAGUUAUUGGGGGCUAUAAAGUUUACAGUUUGUGUCUGAACAAGCUCAGGGCUUCCUUUAUAAUUCCGCUCCUUAAAAGAAACUGCUUUCUGUCUUCAUAAAUGUCGAGUUGCCUGAUUUAAUAUAACGCUUUAUACAAACAGAGCUAAUAACUCAAUAUUUAAAAUAAAUAAAGGAAACGGCAAAAUAUUGCUGGAAAUUUUAAUAAAAAUCCACAGAAAUCUUUAAAAAAAAAAUAAUUAAAUACAAUUUUAUGCAAAGAACAGGGAUUGAUAGCUAGGACAUAAAUUAGGAGGGGAUAUAAUUUUCUGUAUAAAUGACUGUUUAUGGAUACCUAAAAAUGAUUAAUAGUAAUGCAUAUAAUACAAUGAGACUUUGUAAGGAUCCAGCAGGUACUUCUGGAAAUGCAGAUUCCCAAAAUGUAAACAUAAAGCCGUAAACAAUGAAUUAAGUUUUUACAAAAACAAACUAGCAAAUAAUUAAUUCAUAAUUCAUUCUUUCAUAUUAAGUGCACCCACAUUUAUUGGAUAUAAUUUUAUUCAGAAGAAACAGGGCUUUCAUUUCACAUCAAAUUGUUAAAUAUGUAACAUAAUUUAAUAGGAAUAAAAUCUAAAAACAAUUGUGAGAAAUUAAGACAUUUGGUUACGUUCUAAGUUCUACAUGGCAUUUUAACUGUGAAUAUCAUAAUAUUGUUUGCUUUUACUGCAAUAAAUUACACAUAUAUUUGAGUUCAGCGAUGCCUUACAAGUACAACAGUGUCCCCCAUGUACAGGUUUAUAGUGUUUUGAAAAGUUACAGGUUAAAAUAUAGGGCUUUCCCAUUUUCUAUUUUUACACCUUGAAAUUUGCCAGGUUGGUUAUGUUGCCUUUGAAACCUUAUGGCAGCCCAGUAAUGAGAAUUACCCCAUCAUGGCAUACCACUUUCAAAAGUAGACAACCCAGGGUAUUCAGAAUGGGGUAUGUCCAGUCUUUUUUAGUAGACAGUCACAAAACAUGAUCAAAAUUAGUGUUCAUAUUUGAUUUUUUAAUUUUUCCCACACAAACGGCAUACACUGAUAUUACCAUUGCGAUAUAUUUUACUGUUUUGAAACACUCAUAUUUGUAUUCAACGAAGUCCCCCGAGUACAACAGCACCCCCCCUAUGUACAAGUUUUAUGGUAUUAUGGAAAGUUAUAGCUUUAAAUAUAAAACUUCCAAAUUAUAUUAUCUGGACUUUCUGCCUGGGUUGUUAGGUAGGUCCAACAAAUUGUAAUUAAUAAAAUGUCUUAAUUAAGUAAAACAAUUACAUAAAUAUACACGUAGAAGUUAUACAUAUAAGUCAUAUAUAUAUAUAAUUUCAUUCUAAGUGUAUUUUGAUAUUUGAUAUAUAUAUAUAUAUGAGGCGUUAAGGAGUUAAAGCUAUUUCAUGCUUCUUCUUCAAGGAGGAUCAUAGAACAGUCACCUCAAAGUAUAUUUUAAUAUUAUAAUCCUUUCAUCAAGUUUGGAAUUGAAAUAGGUUUUUAAAUGAAAUAAAUGUAAAAAAUUAGAAACACAUCCCUACCUUUAGUGUAUGGCAGGAUCCUUCAGCCAUAAAGAGCCCCCCCUCUACCCCCACUAAUAUUCACACUCUUGAUAAAUAUGAGCAAACAAGGCUGUGAAAAUUGUCUUUAUUGUUUAACCUUUUCACCUUUUGUUCAAAAAAUACACACAAAUAAGCUGCUCUAAUGCAUAUCUAACAAUUGCAAACACAACACAGGCUUGAUUAAAAAUGUAUGGGUGGACCUAUUAUUGCCACCUCUAUGAAUUCAAAGAGAAGAAUAUGUUUGAAGUAUAUUCCCAUUGAUAUUUAAAUGUUUUAGUACCCCUGGGUGACUAGGAACAGGAAAUUGUUCAACCAUGACUUGUGUCACAGGGAUAUGAAUAUAAGGUAACACAUAGGCCAAAUUCCCUUAGUCAUUCGUCACAAUAGGUAAGAACAUGGGAGAUAGCUGUGAUGUGCGACAAAAAGUUACUGAGCUUCACAAAAAUGGGGAGUGGCUAUAAGAAAAUAGCAAAAGCAUUGAAAAUGCCCAUUUCCACCAUCAGGACAAUAAUUAAGAAGUUCCAGUCAACUGAUAAUGUUAUGAAUGAACCUGUAACAGGACGUCUCUCUAUAGCGUCUCAAUGCGCAGUGAAGAGGAUGAUUUGGGUGGCUAAAAACUCUCCAAGCAUCACAGCUGGAGAAAUACUGAAGCUAGUUGUGUCUUGUGGUCAGAAAGUCUCCAAAACUACAAUCUGUCACUUGGAUACUCCGGCAGGACAAACAUCAAAAUCAGCCCCAAAAUGGUUUACUGACCACAAAAUCAAUGUCCUGCCAUGGCCAUCCUAGUCCCUUGACUUGUACCCCAUUGGAAAUCUGUGGGGUGAACUGAAUAGAAGAGUCCAUCAGCAUUAACUUUGAAGGAUCUGUUGAGAUUCUAUAUUGAGGAAUGUUCUCGGUCCCUUGCCAUGUAUUGUCCAUCCUCAUCAGGUAUUUUAGGAAGACUCAUAGCACUUAUCCUGGGAGAUAGCACAAUUGUUCCGCACAUAUAUUUAACAAAUAUUAUGUUUUUAUAAACCUUGUGUUUAAAAUGGUUUGAUAUCCACGAGAGCAGAGUAUUUUUGUGUAUUUUUUGAACAAAUUAUCUAAACAGCAAUUCACAGCCUUUUUUGCUCAUAUUUCCAAAGGGUGCCAAUAUUAGUGGAGGGCACUGUACGUGCAUCUUGGGUCAGACAGUAUUUGAAAACUGAUUGUUAGUCUCUAUAAUCUCUAUAGUUAGUCUCUAUGGUCUUCCCCGCUUCACUCUCUGCAGAGAAGCAUGUAAACCAUAGAGACUAACUCGGUUUUCAAACACUGCCUGACCCAAGGUGCAUGUAUAUGGCUGAAGGAUGCUGUCAUAGACUUAAGAUAGGGAUGGGUUUCUAAUUUUUUUGACAUUUAUUUAAUUUAAAAAAAAUCGAUUUCCUUUUAAAAUUUGAUGAAAGGCUUAUUAUAUUGUAAAUAGCUUUAAGGUUACCGUUGUCCUUUAAGUCUAACGGGCGUACCAAUGCACAAUUACACAAGUGGCACAUCAUGUAAUCUAAAACAGAACGCGAAGCAGAGUAACAAUGACUGCCCCCUCCCAUAUACAAAUAUUCAGAGGGGUGUGCAAUAGUCAGGUAAUUUAAACAAAAUGGUACCAGCCAGUCCUAUGCUCUGCACAAUGAGAUCACUGCCCUCGGCUCACUCCCAGGUCCCAGAACAAAGAGCAAGAGUUGAUGUGUGAUGACCAGACAGAGUAAUGUAUACUGGCCAUAGUAUCGCCAAAUAAUCCACACAUGAGCCAAAGCUUAAUGCUGGAACAAGACUGAUUUACUGGAAGCAACAAGCAUUCAAUUUAUACAGUAACAGACUCCUCCUCUGGGCUAGGCUAGAUAAUUGAGUUUCAGCAACAUACUAAACUCAAUUAUCUGCUGGCCAGAAACAUUACAAUUUUCAACAUUUUUAGAAAAAUACUUUCUGCAUAACAUUGGUAGCUGAGGAUACUGGGAGGCACACAUUCAAAUUUCACGACAAUCCGUUUGGUAGUUUCCGUGUCGCAUCGUGUGAAAGUUUGACCGGCUCGCCAUGUGGUGGUAUCCGAUUUAGAGUUCCAUGAAAUCAGUAGCAAGAGCCGUUCUCCGUUCGCGCAGAGUUACAUGAAAACUACCAUAGGUAUGUUGCAGCCGGUUACAUGAAAGUGCUCGCCUCGUUCGGUAGAUUAAAACUCCUGAACACCGGUUUGAUACUAUGGGUGGAAAUAGGUGAGAUGGGACUUCCAUAAUGACCGGACGUUCGUGUGAUUGCCAUGCUGAAAACAGUUCCAGGCAAUUCACGGGUAAGUCCCGUUAACCGCAUUUUAAGAUUUAAGAUGGCCACCAUCCUUUGUUCUCGCCACGUGUUCGUAUGCCAAAUGGCGGCCACCUAGAAGCACUCAAUUAAGUUGUGGUUUUUCGUGUUUUUACUCGGUGUUCCAAAUUCUGAUUGCUAUCUAGGGUGGUCUCCGUUCGGUAGAACGAAUACAUUUCCCGAACACAUAAUUAAAACGAAACGUUCAAAGGUAGUUAAAGAGCAGGGAGAGGACACAACCGAAUGAACACAGGUGAAUACAGGGAAAUCCUUUACAGGAGGAAAGUAGGAGAUGGCCCAGGAGACAUGGAACAUGGGUGGAGGGUCCAGCUGCACUGCGCACUACGCACAUUCGGGGGAGCUUCUAUGUAAGGGUCAUUCAGAGAGUGGGAUUAUCAGAACUAUAGCAGAGUGUGCAGAGCUCCACUCCUAUAUUCAGAGAGGGGGAGCUUCUAUGUAAGGGUCAUUCAGAGAAUGGGAUUAUCAGUAAUAUAACAGAGUGUGCAGAGCUCCACUCCUAUAUUCAGAGAGGGGGAGCUUCUAUGUAAGGGUCAUUCAGAGAGUGGGGUUAUCAGUACUAUAACAGAGUGUGCAGAGCUCCACUCCUAUAUUCAGAGAGGGGGAGCUUCUAUGUAAGGGUCAUUCAGAGAGUGGGGUUAUCAGUACUAUAACAGAGUGUGCAGAGCUCCACUCCUAUAUUCAGAGAGGGGGAGCUUCUAUGUAAGGGUCAUUCAGAGAGUGGGGUUAUCAGUACUAUAACAGAGUGUGCAGAGCUCCACUCCUAUAUUCAGAGAGGGGGAGCUUCUAUGUAAGGGUAAUUCAGAGAGUUGGAUUAUCAGUACUAUAACAGAGUGUGCAGAGCUCCACUCCUAUAUUCAGAGAGGGGGAGCUUCUAUGUAAGGGUCAUUCAGAGAGUGGGGUUAUCAGUACUAUAGCAGAGUGUGCAGAGCUCCACUCCUAUAUUCGGAGAGGGGGAGCUUCUAUGUAAGGGUCAUUCAGAGAGUGGGGUUAUCAGUACUAUAACAGAGUGUGCAGAGCUCCACUCCUAUAUUCAGAGAGGGGGAGCUUCUAUGUAAGGGUCAUUCAGAGAGUGGGGUUAUCAGUACUAUAGCAGAGUGUGCAGAGCUCCACUCCUAUAUUCAGAGAGGGGGAGCUUCUAUGUAAGGGUCAUUCAGAGAGUGGGAUUAUCAGUACUAUAACAGAGUGUGCAGAGCUCCACUCCUAUAUUCAGAGAGGGGGAGCUUCUAUGUAAGGGUCAUUCAGAGAGUGGGGUUAUCAGUACUAUAACAGAGUGUGCAGAGCUCCACUCCUAUAUUCAGAGAGGGGGAGCUUCUAUGUAAGGGUCAUUCAGAGAGUGGGGUUAUCAGUACUAUAACAGAGUGUGCAGAGCUCCACUCCUAUAUUCAGAGAGGGGGAGCAGUGAAUUGCUUUGUGUUAUAUGUCUAAUGAAACAUGAAAAAAAACUGCUACAAAAUGUUUUUUUUUUCUAAAUUGCUUUAUUUUAGAAAUAUAUGAUUUUACUGUAUAUGGGCAUUAUUCUCAAUGCAGACCGUCUUUUUACAUUCUCUUGCCAAUUUCAGUACUGCUAGUAAUAUCUUCAGGGUCCGUACAAAUAUAAACAUGGAAUUUGACCAUUUUUAUUUAUCUAUUUUUGUCCGAACCUACUGUAUGUGAGAAACAGUGUAUUUUUGUUUUACAUUUUACAGCCUGAGAUAUAGAAAACAUUGUAAGAUAAAGGGCAUUAUGUACUGCCUAACGCUUUUCAUUCCCCAAAUAUUUGUAUAAGGCUGAUUGAAUUAAUAAAUAAUGAAACUUGUGUAAAUUUGACUAAAUUUAAUUUAUGUUUUUCUGAAAAGCAAUAUACACAAAGACUUUGAGUUUUAUUAAAUGUUUAAAUGCCAGCUAUGCAUUCCUUGCUUCAAACACAUGUGAAGCGUAAGGUUCGUUCACAGGACCAUUGCUUGGUAACGAAUGGGUUAAUAUAAGAUUUGUUGCGGCCAUGUUAUUAACUUCGACCCGUGAAUUGGUUCCCUGUGAAUAGUACUGUGUCCGAUGUAUGUUCCAUUCUGUGUACUGCAAUGAGAGGUGCACACUAUGUACUAACACGGCAUGACAUUACUUAACAGCUCUCUAUAAACUGUUAGAGCAUAUGGUCAGUUUUUAUCUAAAGGGUUAAUCCAAGCACCAUCACCACUUCUAUGAUUUGUAGUGGUCAUGGUGCCUGGAGUCUGUAUGUUCAGUGUUCUGAAAGUUUAACGUCUUUGCUGCUAGAGAUUUAACUCCACCUGCAAACGACUCUUCCUUAAUGCUUUAUUCUUGUACAAAACUCAGUGCAGUUUUUAUUUCACUCUGCAAAUAAACCAUUUAACAGAGAGCUGAAUGUUUCCUUGUUAAGUCCUGUGGCUUCUAUCGCUUGUUCAGCUUGUUUUGAUAUGCGUCCAGACUUGAAAUGACUUGAAUCCCAGUUUGCAGAUAAUUGUAGAUUAUGCUAACGUAGUGUACCUAUAAUCUUAAUUUUAAUAAUGACAGGAGGCGAAUAUUUUGCAUAACUUCCUUUACUUUAUGCCUCCAGCAGCACAAGUCAAUCAAUAAACAUUAACCCCUUAAGGACCAAACUUCUGGAAUAAAAGGGAAUCAUGACAUGUCACACAUGUCAUGUGUCCUUAAGGGGUUAAACCAAUCAGUAACAGGCAUUACAUCCAAAUAUAAAGCCCUGACAGACACAUGACUUCAUCUUUCUUUGAAGUGAAAAACAGUCUAUUAUAACGUCAGGGAAUUCAAAUAACAGUCCUGAGUAACGUGUAGCACAUAACUUGAAACGAAACCUGAAACCUUCCAGCUUUAUCUUGUCGAAUCCAUCUAUGAUGAUUACACUGAAAAGGUGAUGGAAACCAACUGUUGUCCACAUUAAAUCCAGUACUAUACAUAUCUAUAUUUAUAUUAAGUUAAUAUGCUGAAACAUUAAACAACCAUUGUAUAUUUAAUAAUCAACACGGAUCUAACACAUGUCAACCAAAUAAGCAUCCCAUAAAUAUACUGAAUUACCAAAACCUUAUAAUUACACUGGGAAAAUGACAAACCAGAAUAUAAAAUUUUCCAGAGUAUAGGGAGGGAAACAGGGAGGGAAAAUAUUCGCCUCCUGUCAUUAUUAAAAUUAAGAUUAUAGGUACACUACGUUAGCAUAAUCUACAAUUUUAUCACAUGACAGGAGGCUUCAUAUUUUGCAUUUUUAAAGCUGUGGUAUGAGUGAGAAGGAUGCGUGUGUGGUUGACGAAAAUAAAUAUAUGGAAGUAGUCUAUCCGUGUCCAAUUCGUUGCUGAAAAUAUAGAGGCCCCCCGUGAAGGCCUGAGAAGCAGCUGCGCCUCUUACCGCAUGAGUACCCAAAACACGUCUCCACCCCCGCUAACGAUAACAACCAAUGAACCCAUCUAGACAGAGUGUUCAUGGUAACUGGCUUGUAUGGUUGGACAACCAUUCUGGGUGCCAUGCUUGACUCCUUUACCGCGGUAAUGAGUACUAUCGAAGUCUUCGCUAUUCUGAUCCCAAUUUCAUAGGUGUGUCCGGAUCUCAGGCAGUGAGCUUUCAGUCGCUGUCUGGUCCGGUAGUGAAGCGGUCCUGGGAAAUAGUCAAAGGGUUAUGGUGCCUUUCCGCCGUACCCGUCGAAUUUCCUUAUGAAUCGUUGCUAUCAAUGAUGUGGGAAGGUGUAAUCCGCCCAAGGUGGAAUCUACUCCAAAGUAGAGGAACUGAAUCACUCAGAACUGGGAUCGAACCGACUCCUCUCUGUUCAUUGUGAAUCCCAACAAUUCCCGAAACUGUAAACAUAAAUCUCGUUUGUAAACGUAGUCAGGAAUUGGAUUUGCAAAAGGUCAGUAAGUCGUCUAGGUAUGCGACAAUGGAUACCCUUUGCUCUUCAGUGCGCCAUGACCGGCUUCAGAAACUUCAUGAGGCACAAUGUGAACAAGUAGGUAAGUGCCCUUCAAAUCCAACCUUGCGAACCCCUCUCGAGGAGUAGAUCCCCUAAGAGAUGGAUACCUUCCUUCUUGAGUUGUCGGCAGGUCCGAACUGGGGAUUCCAAAGCAGCCCUGGAAAAAAAUCUAUGCCAGCCCCAUAAGUCAUUGCGCCAUAUAUUGUCGCAUGUAAUAUGUAAGGCUAUGUCUUGCCACCCUAGAUGAUAUAUAUAUAUAUAUAUAUAUAUAUAUAUAUAUAUAUUGCUUUUUCCAAUAUAAAAUAUUGGUCCUUUCAGAGUAAAAUUUUUAAUUAUACAGUAAGCAUACUCACAUGCAGACACAGACAAUCUCACUGACACAAGCUGAUUGAUACACACCCUCAUAGACAAACAAUCUCACUGAUAUACAUAAGGUCAUUGACAUAUAAACACAAGCUCACUCAGUAGUAGGCACACACACAAGCAAGCCCAGUCACUAGCAAGCGCACACACACACACAGCUUAAUGUAGUGGCUCUGGUGUCUAUAACCUGUCCCUGCAGUCUUUUCAAUGUAAACACUGACUUUUUAGAGAAAAGGCAGUGUUUACAUUGCUUCCUAGUGACAGACACUCAGACGGUCACUAGAGAUGCUUCCUGUGUCAGUGUGGAUUGGCUGAGAUCAUCAAGCUUUAUGAUCUCAGCCAUAGAGACAGGGCCAGUCGAGGGGAGACCAGCACGACGUGGGGAAAAAGGUGCGUAAAAACAUACAUACACACACAUAUACAGACACACACCAUGACACAGACAGACCGUGACACAGACACACACACCGUGACACAGACAGAAACACAGACACACCAUGACAGACAGACACACCAUGGCACAGACAGACACACACACACACCAUGACAGACACACACUUUAAAAAAGACACACACACCUUGACACACACACCAUAACACAGACAGACCGUGACACAGACACACACACACAACACAGACAGACACACACCAUGACACACAGACACACACACACCACGACACAGAGAGACCGUGACACAGACACACACACACCGUGACACAGACAGACACACAUUACAUGACACGGCCAGACACACAUUACCUGACACAGACAGACACACACACACCAUGACAUACAGACACACACACACACCAUGACACAGACAGACCAUGACAUAGACAGACACACAUUACAUGACAGACACACACACGCACACACACCAUGACACAGACACACAUUGCAUGACACAGACAGGCGCACACACCAUGACAGACAGGCACACACACCAUGCCAGACAGACACACACACCAGGACACAGACAGACACACACACGCACCAUGACACAGACAGAGAUGCACACACACACACACCAGGACAGACAGAGACGCACACACACACAUACACUCACACUGACACACACAAUUUCUACCUGUGGGGAGCUCUGAUGGCGACCGCAUGGGGGAGCUGGCUGUUCUGGUGGCCGCAGAGGGAGCUCCUUUGACGGCUGCAGGGGGAGCUGGCUGUUCUGUCUCUGCUCCCCCGCCCCAGCGCGCCGCUUAAUGAGACCAGGGCCGGAAUAUGACGUCAUAUUCCGGCCCCGGUCUCUUUCUAGCGCGCGAGGGCGGGGGAGCAGAGACAGAACAGCCAGCUCCCCCUGCGGCCGCCAAAGGAGCUCCUUCUGCGGCCGCAGGUGAGCCAGCUGCCUGCCGGGCCCCAGGUGCUGAUGGCCCACCAGGAAAUUUUCCGGGAUCCCGUUGGGCCAGUCUGUCCCUGGUUGUCGGUACGCCCCAAAACUAUUGGGUUUUCGUAAGUUGAUGACUGGACGAUAGUCUCCUGGCUUCUUCCUUACUACCAAACCGUUGCUGAGAUAAAUGGUUCUCCAAACAAUAGUCCGUUCGCCUGAGGUCCUCGCUCUUAGUCCCUAACUUCAAUAGUUUGAAAUCCAUAUUUAAUCGGGCUGCUUUGCGCCGUUCUGUGCACCUGUCUGACUUGCGUUCCCCAACCUACAUAUUGCCCUUUGCACCCAUUCCCUCACAUCGUGAGCUUCUAGAGAUGAGUCUUGGGUGGGGUCAGGUCCGCAAAGUAUAGAAUUUUUUCCCAGGGCUGAUCAUGUCCAGUAUUUCAUCCUAACUAGUUUUGAGUCCUUCUCCUACACCUUUACAUGGACCCCGGCCUGAUCGGGACAUAAAUAUCACCACAGUGAUACUGAGCUCCAUGGUGAGGACUAUCUUGUUUGGUCAUAGAGGGCGUAGGAAUUCCACCCUGAGCUUGUCUCGGACUUCUUUUCCCAUAGGCCUCCUGAGCCAGAAGUGGGCAAAGUGUGCCAGGUGCUCCGGUAAACCCCAUUUGGAUGACCCUGGGUGUCGGAUGGUGCAUGAGUCAAAACAAGAGUGUCUAGUGUGCCAAAGAAAAACCUUUUUUGCUAGGCUGGUCUUGUCACUUUACCUCUUCAGAUGGAGACUCUUCUGCUCUUCAUUCUUGCAUGAUCUCCAGAGAAGGGGGAGGGAUGAAGUCCUCGUCCCCUGAUGAUGGAGCCUGAGAUGAUUAAUGGACAGGACAUUCUGAGAAACGGCUCCGCUAAGUCAGGGUGUUCCCUUUCCCCUUUGGAGAAGCCACGUUGGAGCCCUUCCAAUGGUGUUUAGAUGAUAAGGUGUCCGACCUGAUAAGGUUGUCGGUAUCUAUAGCUUCCAUUGGUGUUGGUGCCGUUGCACCCGUUCUGUCGGAUGGGUUGUUAGCGGACUUCUUCACCCGAAGCUGCCAUGGCGGCCUUAAUCCUCGCCUGAAAAUCGGUCGGGGGUAUUGAUCGAUCAAUUUCGAUCAAUCAGUACCACUUUCGCAGGAUCCGGGGAGUGGUCUGAGAAUGAGGACACCCUCAGUAAGACCGGGAUGAGCGGUCUGCAAUGUCGGGACGUAGCCCGAGUAUGGGAGACGUGUAAGCCUCAAUAUGUAUAAUCCAAGGGGUUCAUCCUUAUAUGGCCUAGAAUUGUGGAGUUUUGGCAGCACUGUGAGUUCUCCUUCUCGGUUAAGGGAAGGGCGUACAGAUCCCCCAGUUGAAGCAUAGAGGUGUCGGAAUACAUGCAUCUAGUACGCCCUGGUCUGUGCAUACAAUGACAGAGCGUACUCUGAAGGUAGAAGCCCUAGAAAGGGCACCGGGGGGUAACCCCAUCCGGCAGGGAGGUCACCACUUUGUACCUAUGCCACUAGCACCGGAGAAAGACUCGCUUGGGGGUCACCCAGCGUAGGGGGGUUACCCCUGUAUGUAUGUCUCUUAUGGCAUGUUGGGACACUCUUUCGGUCUGUGGGGUACCGAACAGGUGUCAGGUACGGUAGUACACUUAUUGCUACUUAGUGGGCCUGCACGUGCGACUGGGGGUCACCCAGAAUUGUUUCAAUCAGUACCACUUAGAGAUUUCCUGGGAGUGGUCUGAGGAGGGGGUCACCCUCAAUAAGACCAGGAUGAGUGGUCAGUAAUGUCAGGACGUAGCCCAUGUAUGGGGAGAUAUGGUAGCCUCCAAAUUAUCCAAGGGGUCACCCUUAUGGGAUAUAGUACUGUGGAGAAUUGGCAGCACCGUGAGCUCUCCUUCCUGGCUCUGUCGAUAUACAUGUAUCCAGUGUGUCCCGGUCUGUGCAUACAGUAACAGAUCGUACUCCGUGGAUAUGAGCCCGUCUGAGGGCGUGGGGGUUCCCCCCAGUAUAUGUAUGUCACUAGUACCGGAAUAAGAUUCGCUUGGGGUUCACCCAGCGUAGGGGGUUCAUCACAGUAUAUGUAUGUCACUAGGACAGGAACUAGAUUCGCUUGGGGGUCAUCCAGCGUAAGGGGGGUCACCCCUGUACCACAAUGUCACUUUGGAGAGGUGUCUGCUAUGCUUGGGGGUCACCCAGCGUAAGGAGGGUCACCCCUGUUAAUCACUCAGUUAUGUGUCUCCACUACUGUGUCCUGGGAGGUGUAUUCCUGUGGGAAAGGACUGUAUCCAAUGGUUGUGAGGUCCAGUGGGAGUAGGGAGCUGAGUAAGUUAUCAGCUCUAUUUAAUUUCCCUGCCAGCAGAUAGAGUAAUGCAUCCACUAUGUGCCCACAGCAGGAAACAGUCCAUUCAUAAUCCUCCAGACGUACAAUAAAACUGUUAUUCAACAUGUCAAUUGUAUAGAACAGAAUAGAGCAAACUGCCAGCAGACAUGAGUACUGCAUCCACUACAUGCACACAGCAGGGAUCAGUCCUACAUAUUCAUGCAGAGUUACAUAUAAAACUUUUAUUUCACAUGCCAAUGAAAUAUGACAAUAUAGAGCUCAGCAGUGAACAGUCUAUUCAUAAUCUUCCAGAAUAGGUACAUAUAAAACCUUUAUUCCACAUGCCCAUGAUAUGUAUUAGUAUUGAGCUCAAAAGUACUUGUAAAACUUUUAUUUUGCAGGAAAAAUAUUUUAAACAGUACAGAUCUAGCUGCCAGUUCAUGGGAAUCACAAACUGGCUAAACGACAUGGCCGACGUGAAUCUCACAUUCAAGAUAGCCGCCGUUAGCGUGCAAAAGUGUUGUGUGGCCCGCGAUCGAGGAUACGAUCGCGGCCCGCCGGUAUUGGACAGAGUCGCCCCGACACCCCCACCCCCAGAGACCUUCUCUGAAGUCCCAGCACCAGUGAAUAAAAAAGCGUGCUCGCGGUAAAAUGCCACGAUCGCAAAAAAAACACGAUCGCGUAAAACGCUAUCCGUGCGAGACCAGAGUAAAGCAUAGGAAAGAAAAGGUGCCAGCAACAGAAAACCAAACAGGCUAAUAAAGCAGAAAAUACAGGGUUAAUUUGGGGGAAGGGUAACAGGGGGAGAAUAUCACACUAUACAAGUCCAAAUGGAAGGCAAGUGCAAAAUAAUGAAAAACGUUUAGGGCAAAAUUGCAGGACCAGCUAAUAAAGUUUAACUAAAGUGGCCAUGCAUAUCCAGAAAGAGUUUGUAGCAAAACUGAAUGUCUAGCAUUAGAAAUCUAACUAAAGUGACCAUAGCAAUAUUAAUAAAAACAGUUGGAGCAAACUGAAAGUCAAUUAAUAAAGUUUAAUUAAAGUGACCAUUGCAAUAUCCAGAAAACCAGUUUGGAUUAAAACUGAAUGUCUAGCAUACGGUGUCUAACUACAGUGACCAUAGCAAUAUUAAUAAAACAGUUUGGAACAAACUGAAAGUUAAGCAAUAAAUGAUUAACUAAUGACAAUUGCAAUAUCAGUAAAACAGUUUGGAGCAAAAUACUCUGACCGGUGCCUUGGCUGGUAAGCAGCAAAGAAAGAGGAAGUCAUGUGUCUGUCAGGGCUUUAUAUAUGGAUGUGAUGCCUGUUACUGAUUGGUUUAAAGUUUAUUGAUUGACUUAUGCUGCUUUAGGCAUAAAGUAAAGAAAGUUAUGCAAAAUAUGAAGCCUCCUGUCAUGUGAUGAAAUUCCUGCCUCCUAUUAAUUGAUUACCAUGCUUGGCUGGCCUCAUAUCAGUAGAAACGAUUCCCGUACAAUCCCUGUUUUUUCUGAUGUCUUCGCUGAGGUCAUGACUUGUUCUCCUUUUCAAAUCCUGAGCACCAGCUGUUUUCAUAGUUUAUUUUUAUAAAAGUACCCAGUCCCCGGGGGGGCGGAGCCAAGCAGCACAUGGAGACGGUCGCAAAUCAGACCGGCUCCGAUCAUCUACGUUAAUAAACCCACAAUUUCGGUGACUUGAGCAGGCACACACGGACAAUAUCCGUAGAGCUACACGCAGGAGGACCCAUCGAACCCGCAGAUGCCCUUCUUGUUCCCGGCGACCACUAAAAUCCGGCGCCGAGGAUCUCGGGCCUACCACGCGGGCAGCCGGCUGCUGGAGUGGAACGGUAGCCUCGGGGCCACCCUCGACCUCCUCACCAAUAACAUCCUGGGCGACCCCUCCGACGACACAAUGGGCCGAAAAAACCCGCGGCAAAGCCAAACACCAGCCAGAGAGGGCCAAGAUAUCGGGCAAAUGCUCAGCUCAGCGCCACGCGCAAAAGAAAUGGCGCACCCGCGGCCUGCAGCCCAACCUACUCUCAUGGAGGAAAACACGCCAGAAUUGGAGUCCCUUUUGUCAGGGGACAGAGAAGCUCCAUCCACAAAAGGAGACAUAUACAAUUUAUUCCUCCAUAUGCAGAAGCUCUUCACAAAGGACAUCACAGCAGUGAAGACAGAGGUACAGCAGGUAACUGCUAGACUAAACACCACAGAGGCAGACAUCACCUCACUGAAACAGGGUAUAGACAGCCUUGGGGACACAGUUCAACACCUUAACUCCUCCUAUACACACCUAUCGAGCCGAAUGGAACAAUUAGAAGACAGAAGCAGGAGUAAAAACAUCAAAAUACGGGGGGUCGCUGACACGCUCCCCCCCGAGGAGCUCCCACAUUUUGUCAGGCGACUGAUCGCCUUCCUACUACCGACACGAUCGGCCAAGCAAUUCUCCUUUGAAGGAGUUUACCGCAUCGCUAAGUCUCCCCAAGCACCCACCACCUCAACCAGAGACAUCAUCUUAUGUUGCCAGUCUCAUGCAGAUAAGCAAAGGAUCUUCACAGCUCUGAAGGGGAAAACGCCAUUACAAUUUGAAUCCUUUUCACUCACCUUUUUCCAAGACCUCUGCAGAGCCACGCUACUAUGGAGAAAAUCCAUGCAACCAAUCACCAAGGCCCUUCAAAGCGCGGGACUGGCAUACCGUUGGACCCAUCCCAGAACCCUCACAGUGAUUAAAAAUGGGAAACAAUACAAAGCUUCUAGUCCCUCUGAGUGUACAGCCUUCCUACAGGCACUGGAGCUGCCAGCAACGCAAGACACGCCGACAAUGUCGGCUGAAUGGGAUGUGAGCAACAUCACCCCUUUCACACCCAGGAACAGACGGGACACUGACACUUAACCUCAGACACCCAUUCCAACCUCCUGAGACAUUUCACUCAGUCCAAAAACUUUGGGCCAAAAACGGACUUAUGAAAGUACGCGCCGAUUGCGAGUUUAACAGAGACUUAGUAAGCUGCACAGUUAAUUUCUAAACUCCAGAAACUGAAUGAAGAUCCUCUCAUAUGCAAACCACGAACUUAAGCCACUUAAUGUUAACUGUUAUCUAAUCACUGUUACACCCGAAGUUUAACCAUUGUACUUUUCCUUCCCUACACCAAGGGUACAGGAACACCUGGCUGCAUACAUAUUACUGGCCACUGUUAGAAGAUCACCAGAGCCCCAGUCAGUCACUCAGGCCCCCGUUCAAUAUACCGCCAAGACCCAUAGGAUCUCCACUAUCCUUCCUCCCUCCCCCCCCCGUUACCCCAUAGGUUAGAGGGCACGGCAGAAAGGUCAGGAGCUGUAGAACAGCACCAAAACGAUGUUAAUACCAACCACACUGACCUGAAGAUCGCCCACACAUAGUUAAUCCGCAGAAAAGGUAACAGAGACAUUCCAAUAGACGAGCCCUAGACACAAAUAGGCACACGACAACUUCUACAUUCCUGUGCCACCAAGGACAACACAUAAUGCUACAGACGAGAACUUGGCCACAAAUGUAGUCAAGAACUACAAACAUUUCAACCUAACCUAGGGAGCACACACCUACUGGAAUGACUAGACCUUAAUCCUCACCUUACAGUGCAGGCACCUGAUUGUGAAUAUCCAUUGUGAGCUAUGUUGUCACUUCAAUAUUACUGUCAUGGUAUUGUAAACCUAAAUCUGUCAUUAUGCACGGCAAAAAUAAAGAAUUAUAAAAAAAUAAAAAAAAAUGCCAGAGAGACAUACACACACACACUACUUAACAUUCACUGUCGGACAGGCACAUACACUGACAAACAUACACACUAUGCAUGCACAGGUAAACAUACAGACACACACAUCCACUGCCAAAUACACAGACAUAUACACACUAGUGAUGUCGCGAACCCGAAAUUUUCGGUUCGCGAACGGCGAACGCGAACUUCCGCAAAUGUUCGCGAACCGGCGAACCGCCCGAAACGCCAUUGACUUCAAUGGGGAGGCGAAUUUUAAAACACACAGGGACUCUUUCUGGCCACAAUAGGGAUGGAAAAGUUGUUUCAAGGGACUAACACCUGGACUGUGGCAUGCCGGAGGGGGAUCCAUGGCAAAACUCCCAUGGAAAAUUACACAGUUGAUACAGAGUCUGGUUUUAAUCCAUAAAGGGCAGAAAUCACCUAACAUUUCUAAAUCACAAUCAAUAUGGAUUGACACCUGACAUAUGACAUAUUGACACCUUGACAUAUGGAUUGACACCUGUCCUCAGAGCCCCUGAUGCACACGGACACAGAGCAGAAUAGAGACUGGUCCCCUACAUAGGGUCACUUGGCAGAUAUGGAUUGACACCUGUCCUAAGGAUCCCUGAUACACACUGACACAGAGCAGAAUAGGGACUGUUCCCCCUACAUUGGGUCACUUGGCAGAUAUGGAUUGACACCUGUCCUAAGGUUCCCUGAUACACACUGACACAGAGCAGAAUAGGGACUGGUCCCCCUACAUCGGGUCACUUGGCAGAUAUGGAUUGACACCUUGUUACAAACUGCUAUUUGUAACGGGCCCUUUAAAUGGCAAAUUGCCCUACUUGCCAGCCUCCUCCCGCAUGACUAUGGCCCCUGGGAGAUUGUGAAAAUGUAUGCACUUUUAUUUGGUGUGUAUGGCCUUUAAGACUGUCAGUGGGCAUACUGGGGCUUAUGGACUCUUUAUGUGACUGGUGCUGGCCCUUUAAACACCUUUUUUGGGACAUCAGGAAGAUUGGGACACUGCCCCUUUAAGGCCGUGUCCCCAGACUUGUUGGGGACACGGCCCCUUUAAGGCGGUGUCCCCUGUGUCCCCAGACCUGGUGCAAACCCUUUGUGCCUGCCUUGCUAUUUCCCACUUGGUUCAGUAAAUGGGAAAUUAUUUCAGCUGCAGAGACUAAGUCCCAUUCGUGAUGGGACUUAGUCUUUUUUUCAGCCGUUUUUUUCAGCCUUAUUUCAGCUGCAGAGACUAAGUCCCAUUCGUGAUGGGACUUAGUCUUUUUUUCAGCCGUUUUUUUCAGCCUUAUUUCAGCUGCAGAGACUAAGUCCCAUUCGGCGAUGGGACUUAGUCUUUUCUUCAGCCGUUUUUUUCAGCCUUAUUUCAGCUGCAGAGACUAAGUCCCAUUCGGCGAUGGGACUUAGUCUUUUCUUCAGCCGUUUUUUUCAGCCUUAUUUCAGCUGCAGAGACUAAGUCCCAUUCGGCGAUGGGACUUAGUCGUUUUNNNNNNNNNNNNNNNNNNNNNNNNNNNNNNNNNNNNNNNNNNNNNNNNNNNNNNNNNNNNNNNNNNNNNNNNNNNNNNNNNNNNNNNNNNNNNNNNNNNNAUGUAAGGCUAUGUCUUGCCACCCUAGAUGAUAUAUAUAUAUAUAUAUAUAUAUAUAUAUAUAUAUAUAUAUUGCUUUUUCCAAUAUAAAAUAUUGGUCCUUUCAGAGUAAAAUGUUUAAUUAUACAUUAAGCAUACUCACAUGAAGACACAGACAAUCUCACUGACACAAGCUGAUUGAUACACAGCCUCAUAGACAAACAAUCUCACUGAUAUACAUGAGGUCAUUGACAUAAAAACACAAGCUCACUCAGUAGUAGGCACACACACACACAAGCAAGCCCACUCACUAGCAAGCGCACACACACACACAGCUUAAUGUAGUGGCUCUGGUGUCUAUAACCUGUCCCUGCAGUCUUUUCAAUGUAUACACUGACUUUUUAGAGAAAAGGCAGUGUUUACAUUGCUUCCUAGUGACAGACACUCAGACGGUCACUAGAGGUGCUUCCUGUGUCAGUGCGGAUUGGCUGAGAUCAUCAAGCUUUAUGAUCUCAGCCAUAGAGACAGGGCCAGUCGAGGGGAGACCAGCACGACGUGGGGAAAAAAAAAAGGUGCGUAAAAACAUACAUACACACACAUAUACAGACACACACCAUGACACAGACAGACCGUGACACAGACACACACACCGUGACACAGACAGAAACACACACACACCGUGACACAGACAAAAACACAGACACACCAUGACAGACAGACACACCAUGACACAGACAGACACACACACACACCAUGACAGACACACACUUUAAAAAAGACACACACACCUUGACACACACACCAUAACACAGACAGACCGUGACACAGACACACACACACGACACAGACAGGCACACACCAUGACACACAGACACACACACACCACAACACAGAGAGACCGUGACACAGACACACACACACCGUGACACAGACAGACACACAUUACAUGACACGGCCAGACACACAUUACCUGACACAGACAGACACACACACACCAUGACAUACAGACACACACACACACCAUGACACAGACAGACCAUGACAUAGACAGACACAUAUUACAUGACAGACACACGCACACACACCAUGACACAGACACACAUUGCAUGACACAGACAGGCGCACACACCAUGACAGACAGGCACACACACCAUGCCAGACAGACACACACACCAGGACACAGACAGACACACACACGCACCAUGACACAGACAGAGAUGCACACACACACACACCAGGACAGACAGAGACGCACACACACACAUACACUCACACUGACACACACAAUUUCUACCUGUGGGGAGCUCUGAUGGCGACCGCAUGGGGGAGCUGGCUGUUCUGGUGGCCGCAGAGGGAGCUCCUUUGACGGCUGCAGGGGGAGCUGGCUGUUCUGUCUCUGCUCCCCCGCCCCAGCGCGCCGCUUAAUGAGACAAGGGCCGGAAUAUGACGUCAUAUUCCGGCCCCGGUCUCUUUCUAGCGCGCGAGGGCGGGGUAGCAGAGACAGAACAGCCAGCUCCCCCUGCGGCCGCCAAAGGAGCUCCUUCUGCGGCCGCAGGUGAGCCAGCUGCCUGCCCGGCCCCAGGUGCUGAUGGCCCACCAGGAAAUUUUCCGGGAUCCCGUUGGGCCAGUCUGUCCCUGGUUGUCGGUACGCCCCAAAACUAUUGGGUUUUCAUAAGUUGAUGACUGGACGAUAGUUUCCUGGCUUCUUCCUUACUACCAAACCGUUGCUGAGAUAAAUGGUUCUCCAAACAAUAGUCCGUUCGCCUGAGGUCCUCGCUCUUAGUCCCUAACUUCAAUAGUUUGAAAUCCAUAUUUAAUCGGGCUGCUUUGCGCCGUUCUGUGCACCUGUUUGACUUGCGUUCCCCAACCUACAUAUUGCCCUUUGCACCCAUUCCCUCACAUCGUGAGCUUCUAGAGAUGAGUCUUGGGUGGGGUCAGGUCCGCAAAGUAUAGAAUUUUUUCCCAGGACUGAUCAUGUCCAGUAUUUCAUCCUAACUAGUUUUGAGUCCUUCUCCUACACCUUUACAUGGACCCCGGCCUGAUCGGGACAUAAAUAUCACCACAGUGAUACCGAGCUCCAUGGUGAGGACUAUAUUGUUUGGUCAUAGAGGGCGUAGGAAUUCCACCCUGAGCUUGUCUCGGACUUCUUUUCCCAUAGGCCUCCUGAGCCAGAAGUGGGCAAAGUGUGCCAGGUGCUCUGGUAAACCCCAUUCGGAUGACCCUGGGUGUCGGAUGGUGCAUGAGUCAAAACAAGAGUGUCCAGCGUGCCAAAGAAAAACCUUUUUUGCUAGGCGGGUCUUGUCACUUUACCUCUUCAGAUGGAGACUCUUCUGCUCUUCAUUCUUGCAUGAUCUCCAGAGAAGGGGGAGGGAUGAAGUCCUCUUCCCCUGAUGAUGGAGCAUGAGAUGAUUAAUGGACAGGACAUUCUGAGAAACGGCUCCGCUAAGUCAGGGUGUUCCCUUUCCCCUUUGGAGAAGCCGCGUUGGAGCCCUUCCAAUGGUGUUUAGAUGAUAAGGUGUCCGACCUGAUAAGGUUGUCGGUAUCUAUAGCUUCCAUUGGUGUUGGUGCCGUUGCACCCGUUCUGUCGGAUGGGUUGUUAGCGGACUUCUUCACCCGAAGCUGCCAUGGCGGCCUUAAUCCUCGCCUGAAAAUCGGUCGGGGGUAUUGAUCGAUCAAUUUCGAUCAAUCAGUACCACUUUCGCAGGAUCCGGGGAGUGGUCUGAGAAUGAGGACACCCUCAGUAAGACCGGGAUGAGCGGUCUGCAAUGUCGGGACGUAGCCUGAGUAUGGGAGACGUGAAAGCCUCAAUAUGUAUAAUCCAAGGGGUUCAUCCUUAUAUGGCCUAGAAUUGUGGAGUUUUGGCAGCACUGUGAGUUCUCCUUCUCGGUUAAGGGAAGGGCGUACAGAACCCCCAGUUGAAGCAUAGAGGUGUCGGAAUACAUGCAUCUAGUACGCCCUGGUCUGUGCAUACAAUGACAGAGCGUACUCUGAAGGUAGAAGCCCUAGAAAGGGCACGGGGGGUAACCCCAUCCGGCAGGGGGGUCACCACUUUGUACCUAUGCCACUAGCACCGGAGUAAGACUCGCUUGGGGGUCACCCAGCGUAGGGGGGUCACCCCUGUAUGUAUGUCUCUUAUGGCAUGUUGGGACACUCUUUCGGUCUGUGGGGUACCGAACAGGUGUCAGGUACGGUAGUACACUUAUUGCUACUUAGUGGGCCUCCACGUGCGACUGGGGGUCACCCAGAAUUGUUUCAAUCAGUACCACUUAGAGAUUUCCUGGGAGUGGUCUGAGGAGGGGGUCACCCUCAAUAAGACCAGGAUGAGUGGUCAGUAAUGUCAGGACGUAGCCCAUGUAUGGGGAGAUAUGGUAGCCUCCAAAUUAUCCAAGGGGUCACCCUUAUGGGAUAUAGUACUGUGGAGAAUUGGCAGCACCGUGAGCUCUCCUUCCUGGCUCUGUCAAUAUACAUGUAUCCAGUGUGUCCUGGUCUGUGCAUACAGUAACAGAUCGUACUCCGUGGAUAUGAGCCGGUCUGAGGGCGUGGGGGUUCCCCCCAGUAUAUGUAUGUCACUAGGACAGGAACCAGAUUCGCUUGGGGGUCAUCCAGCGUAAGGGGGCUCACCCCUGUACCACAAUGUCACUUUGGAGAGGUGUCUGCCAUGCUUGGGGGUCACCCAGCGUAAGGAGGGUCACCCCUGUUAAUCACUCCGUUAUGUGUCUCCACUACUGUGUCCUGGGAGGUGUAUCCCUGUGGGGAAGGAGUGCAUCCAGUGGUUGUGAGGUCCAGUGGGAGUAGGGAGCUGAGUAAGUUAUAAGCUCUAUUUAAUUUCCCUGCCAGCAGAUAGAGUAAUGCAUCCACUAUAUGCCCACAGCAGGGAACAGUCCAUUCAUAAUCCUCCAGACGUACAAUAAAACUGUUAUUCAACAUGUCAAUUGUAUAGAACAGAAUAGAGCAAACUGCCAGCAGACAUUAGUACUGCAUCCACUACAUGCACACAGAAGGGAUCAGUCCUACAUAUUCAUGCAGAGUUACAUAUAAAACUUUUAUUUUACAUGCCAAUGAAAUAUGACAAUAUAGAGCUCAGCAGUGAACAGUCUAUUCAUAAUCUUCCAGAAUAGGUACAUAUAAAACCUUUAUUCCACAUGCCCAUGAUAUGUAUUAGUAUUGAGCUCAAAAGUACUUGUAAAACUUUUAUUUUGCAGGAAAAAUAUUUUAAACAGUACAGAUCUAGCUGCCAGUUCAUGGGAAUCACAAACUGGCUAAACGACAUGGCCGACGUGAAUCUCGCAUUCAAGAUAGCCGCCGUUAGCGUGCAAAAGUGUUGUGUGGCCCGCGAUCGAGGAUACGAUCGCGGCCCGCCGGUAUUGGACAGAGUCGCCCCGACACCCCCAACCCCCAGAGACCUUCUCUGAAGUCCCAGCACCAGUGAAUAAAAAAGCGUGCUCGCGGUAAAAUGCCACGAUCGCAGUAAAAAAAACACGAUCGCAGUAAAACGCUAUCCGUGCGAGACCAGAGUAAAGCAUAGGAAAGAAAAGGUGCCAGCAACAGAAAACCAAACAGGCUAAUAAAGCAGAAAAUACAGGGUUAAUUUGGGGGAAGGGUAACAGGGGGAGAAUAUCACACUAUACAAGUCCAAACGGAAGGCAAGUGCAAAAUAAUGAAAAACGUUUAGGGCAAAAUUGCAGGACCAGCUAAUAAAGUUUAACUAAAGUGGCCAUGCAUAUCCAGAAAGAGUUUGUAGCAAAAACUGAAUGUCUAGCAUUAGAAAUCUAACUAAAGUGACCAUAGCAAUAUUAAUAAAAACAGUUGGAGCAAACUGAAAGUCAAUUAAUAAAGUUUAAUUAAAGGGACCAUAGCAAUAUUAAUAAAAUAACAGUUUGGAGCAAGCUGAAUGUUAAGCAAUACAUGUUUAACUAAUGACAAUUUGCAAUAUCAGUAAAACAGUUUGGAGCAAAAUCCUCUGACCUGUGCCUUGGCUGGAGCAGCAAAGAAAGAGGAAGUCAUGUGUCUGUCAGGGCUUUAUAUAUGGAUGUGAUGCCUGUUACUGAUUGGUUUAAAGUUUAUUGAUUGACUUAUGCUGCUUUAGGCAUAAAGUAAAGAAAGUUAUGCAAAAUAUGAAGCCUUCUGUCAUGUGAUAAAAUUCCUGCCUCCUAUUAAUUGAUUACCAUGCUUGGCUGGCCUCAUAUCAGUAGAAACGAUUCCCGUACAAUCCCUGUUUUUUCUGAUGUCUUCGCUGAGGUCAUGACUUGUUCUCCUUUUCAAAUCCUGAGCACCAGCUGUUUUCAUAGUUUAUUUUUAUAAAAGUACCCAGUCCCCACUGGGGGUCCCGAGAUAUGAUAAAUAUGGGGUCUCUGGAGGAAAAGUCCUUGAGUUGUGUUGUCAUAUCAAUUUCUUUAAUUUGCUCAAUUUCCCUUCCACUUAUCAAAUCUGAUGAAUGAGCUGCAGCUUAGGACUGAACUACAUUGGUGGAGCCUUUUCCUGGUCUGGAAUGGGUUGGGCUUUCAUUAUAUAUAAUGAAUUAGAAUGAAGCUACUUUGUUUGUUUUUUAACAUGGUGAUACAAAGUUUAUCUAUGGUGAUGGGAUUAUUAUGGGAACAAUAAUUGAGAAAGAUCAAAUGUGCGAGCUGGUCUUCCUUGGAGAAGAUGGUCCAUCACAGCACGUGGUCCAGUGUUACGAUAAAUUGAAUUUUAUAGAUUGACCUGGUUCCUGUCACAAUGUUAUUUAUGGUAUCAGUCAGAAUGUGCGGCUUUGUGCUCAUUGAUCCCGUUCACCUAUCUCUCAUCCUCUCUCACACCUUUAUUCUCUUCCUAUAUAUCACUUUCUUAUUACUGCUGUCUCUGCUCUCUGUGCUCCCUCUCGGUCUCUCCAUCUUUCUCUUUCAUUCUCUGUCUCUCUCCUUCUCUCACUCUGUUUUUCUCUAUUUCUCUCCUCCCUUAUUUUCUUGUUCUCUUUCUUUUUCCUUUAGCUUUCGAGUUCCAUGAAGACGACUUGGAAGAACUUCUCAUAUAUGACGACCUUUUCCUGGAAUAUUUUAACGAGUUCCUUGGUUUAGGGGU
Molecule: long non-coding RNA, 24575 nt
Filed under: Pelobates cultripes (western spadefoot toad)
Lineage: Eukaryota; Metazoa; Chordata; Amphibia; Anura; Pelobatidae
Source: RNAcentral